This 467-nucleotide ribosomal RNA is filed under the name uncultured bacterium. RNAcentral describes it as "partial 16S ribosomal RNA". It matches the Rfam family "Bacterial small subunit ribosomal RNA", at positions 28 to 507 of the family's 1533-position model. The record is from RNAcentral.
GAUGAACGCUGACAGAAUGCUUAACACAUGCAAGUCAACUUGAAUUUGGGUUUUUAACUUAGGUUUGGGUGGCGGACGGGUGAGUAACGCGUAAAGAACUUGCCUCACAGCUAGGGACAACGUUUGGAAACGAAUGCUAAUACCUAAUAUUAUGAUAAUAGGGCAUCCUAUAAUUAUGAAAGCUAUAAGCGCUGUGAGAGAGCUUUGCGUCCCAUUAGCUAGUUGGAGAGGUAACGGCUCACCAAGGCGAUGAUGGGUAGCCGGUCUGAGAGGGUGAUCGGCCACAAGGGGACUGAGACACGGCCCUUACUCCUACGGGAGGCAGCAGUGGGGAAUAUUGGACAAUGGACCGGGAGUCUGAUCCAGCAAUUCUGUGUGCACGAUGAAGUUUUUCGGAAUGUAAAGUGCUUUCAGUUGGGAAGAAACAAAUGACGGUACCAACAGAAGAAGUGACGGCUAAAUACGUG